Molecule: long non-coding RNA, 553 nt
Organism: Esox lucius (northern pike)
Lineage: Eukaryota; Metazoa; Chordata; Actinopteri; Esociformes; Esocidae
Source: Ensembl
UAUUACCUUAAAAUUAGCGAUAGGUAUUUCGGUUAUUUUGGGGCAAAGCAGGCAAAACACCUGGUCCUGCAAUUGUCUUAUGUUUGGCAUUUCCACAUGAUGUGUUUUUAUGUUGCAAAUAUUUAUUAGAGUGAACAUAUCUGUUAGUCAGGAUCGUUGCAAUAUAAUAUUACAUUACAGUGGUCUCUUCAGUGUCCUCCACUAUGACCAGAGUGGUCAAACCUGGGGAGACUGUCUGUAUGUCCUGUAACGUACCUAUGAAGACCUCGACAAUGUGGUUUGGACAAGAGUGCAACAAGACGCCCUUUGUCAUCAUAUCGGCCAAACAAUAUGACGUUAACGAAAAGAAAGUUCUAAAUAAAUUCCUCCAUGGCAACAACAGUGCAUUCAGCACAAUGUUAGAGGACAAUGGCUCCAUCAGUCUGACCAUCACAAAGAUGAAUGAGUCUUUGCUAGGAUUCUACUAUUGUACUUCAGGAAUCGACAAAGAACUUACAGUUGGAUCCGGUUACAUUCUUGAAUAUGAGAAGGGCAGUGUUUCACCUAAAAGAGA